UCACCGGGUUCUCCACCUUCAUCUCCGGUGACUUCCUCCCCGGUCUCCUCUCCCAGCCUGUCACCGGAUUCUACACCUUCAUCUCCGGUGACUUCUUCGUCGCCACCCCCUGAUUCUACCUUGCCGAUUCCUCCUUCUAUUAUUCCAUCUUUUCCUCAGCAUUACACUCGUCGUCCACGACCAGUCGAUGCCUCUGUGGAUGGGUCGUCAUCUUCCUCUCAGCCUACUUAUGGCUUGCGUUCUCGUCCUCGUCCGCCUGUUGAUCGCUUUGGAUUUCCCACCGCUGAUGCUGCUGUUCUUGAGCCGACUUCUUACCGUCAGGCUGUUGUUCAUCCUGAAUGGCAGUUUGCGAUGGCAGAGGAGAUUGCUGCUCUUGAACGCACUGGUACCUGGGAUCUUGUUUCUCUUCCUCCCGGAGUCCGUCCGAUCACUUGUAAGUGGGUCUACAAGGUUAAGACUCGCUCCGAUGGUUCUCUUGAGCGUCACAAAGCUCGUCUUGUGGCUCGUGGUUUUCAGCAGGAGCAUGGUCAUGAUUAUGACGAGACUUUUGCUCCUGUGGCUCAUAUGACCACUGUUCGUACACUUCUU
This 588-nucleotide ribosomal RNA is filed under the name Triticum aestivum (bread wheat). Its description in RNAcentral is "partial small subunit ribosomal RNA". Lineage: Eukaryota; Viridiplantae; Streptophyta; Magnoliopsida; Poales; Poaceae. The record is from RNAcentral.